UACAUGGGGUGCAAACGUUGCUCGGAAUUAUUGGGCGUAAAGCGCACGUAGGCGGUUUGUUAAGUCGGAUGUGAAAUCCCUCGGCUCAACUGAGGAAGUGCAUCCGAAACUGGCAGGCUUGAGUACUAAAGAGGGUCGCGGAAUUCCCGGUGUAGAGGUGAAAUUCGUAGAUAUCGGGAGGAACACCGGUGGCGAAGGCGGCGA
RNAcentral lists this ribosomal RNA (204 nucleotides) under uncultured bacterium. RNAcentral's name for it is "partial 16S ribosomal RNA". It matches the Rfam family "Bacterial small subunit ribosomal RNA", at positions 524 to 727 of the family's 1533-position model. The record is from RNAcentral.